ACGUACACUCCUACGGGAGGCAGCAGUGGGGAAUAUUGCACAAUGGGCGCAAGCCUGAUGCAGCCAUGCCGCGUGUAUGAAGAAGGCCUUCGGGUUGUAAAGUACUUUCAGCGGGGAGGAAGGCAAUACGGUUAAUAACCGUGUUGAUUGACGUUACCCGCAGAAGAAGCACCGGCUAACUCCGUGCCAGCAGCCGCGGUAAUACGGAGGGUGCAAGCGUUAAUCGGAAUUACUGGGCGUAAAGCGCACGCAGGCGGUCUGUCAAGUCGGAUGUGAAAUCCCCGGGCUCAACCUGGGAACUGCAUUCGAAACUGGCAGGCUUGAGUCUUGUAGAGGGGGGUAGAAUUCCAGGUGUAGCGGUGAAAUGCGUAGAGAUCUGGAGGAAUACCGGUGGCGAAGGCGGCCCCCUGGACAAAGACUGACGCUCAGGUGCGAAAGCGUGGGGAGCAAACAGGAUUAGAUACCCGAGUAGUCCCA
Molecule: ribosomal RNA, 477 nt
Filed under: uncultured organism
Description: partial 16S ribosomal RNA
Rfam family: Bacterial small subunit ribosomal RNA
Source: RNAcentral